This 1287-nucleotide ribosomal RNA is filed under the name metagenome. RNAcentral describes it as "bacterial SSU rRNA". It matches the Rfam family "Bacterial small subunit ribosomal RNA", at positions 242 to 1520 of the family's 1533-position model. The record is from RNAcentral.
UAGCUAGUUGGUGAGGUAAAGGCUUACCAAGGCGACGAUCUGUAGCGGGUCUGAGAGGAUGAUCCGCCACACUGGAACUGAGACACGGUCCAGACUCCUACGGGAGGCAGCAGUGGGGAAUUUUGGACAAUGGGGGCAACCCUGAUCCAGCCAUGCCGCGUGAGUGAAGAAGGCCUUCGGGUUGUAAAGCUCUUUCGGCCGGGAAGAAAUCGCAUGGGCCAAUACCCUGUGUGGAUGACGGUACCGGAAUAAGAAGCACCGGCUAACUACGUGCCAGCAGCCGCGGUAAUACGUAGGGUGCGAGCGUUAAUCGGAAUUACUGGGCGUAAAGCGUGCGCAGGCGGUUUUGUAAGACAGGCGUGAAAUCCCCGGGCUUAACCUGGGAACUGCGUUUGUGACUGCAAGGCUAGAGUACGGCAGAGGGGGGUGGAAUUCCACGUGUAGCAGUGAAAUGCGUAGAGAUGUGGAGGAACACAAAUGGCGAAGGCAGCCCCCUGGGUCGAUACUGACGCUCAUGCACGAAAGCGUGGGUAGCAAACAGGAUUAGAUACCCUGGUAGUCCACGCCCUAAACUAUGUCAACUAGGUGUUGGGUGGGUAAAACCAUUUAGUACCGUAGCUAACGCGUGAAGUUGACCGCCUGGGGAGUACGGCCGCAAGGUUAAAACUCAAAGGAAUUGACGGGGACCCGCACAAGCGGUGGAUGAUGUGGAUUAAUUCGAUGCAACGCGAAAAACCUUACCUACCCUUGACAUGCCAGGAACUUGCCAGAGAUGGCUUGGUGCCCGAAAGGGAGCCUGGACACAGGUGCUGCAUGGCUGUCGUCAGCUCGUGUCGUGAGAUGUUGGGUUAAGUCCCGCAACGAGCGCAACCCUUGUCGUUAAUUGCCAUCAUUUAGUUGGGCACUUUAACGAGACUGCCGGUGACAGACCGGAGGAAGGUGGGGAUGACGUCAAGUCCUCAUGGCCCUUAUGGGUAGGGCUUCACACGUCAUACAAUGGUCGGUACAAAGGGUUGCCAAGCCGCGAGGCGGAGCCAAUCCCAGAAAGCCGAUCGUAGUCCGGAUUGCAGGCUGCAACUCGCCUGCAUGAAGUCGGAAUCGCUAGUAAUCGUGGAUCAGCAUGUCACGGUGAAUACGUUCCCGGGUCUUGUACACACCGCCCGUCACACCAUGGGAGCGGGUUCCGCCAGAAGUAGGUAGCCUAACCGCAAGGGGGGCGCUUACCACGGCGGGGUUCGUGACUGGGGUGAAGUCGUAACAAGGUAGCCGUAGGGGAACCUGCGGCUG